GGCUGCGUGGCGCAGUGGUAGAGCGCUAGACUUUGGGGAGUGAGGUCCGGGGUUCGAACCCACCUGGGGUCA
Molecule: non-coding RNA, 72 nt
Organism: Caenorhabditis brenneri
Lineage: Eukaryota; Metazoa; Nematoda; Chromadorea; Rhabditida; Rhabditidae
Source: the annotation of a GenBank genome assembly